Long non-coding RNA from Melanotaenia boesemani (Boeseman's rainbowfish), 281 nucleotides. RefSeq lists it as uncharacterized. The record is from RefSeq and is a predicted model, not a curated record. The transcript is spliced from 3 exons. Lineage: Eukaryota; Metazoa; Chordata; Actinopteri; Atheriniformes; Melanotaeniidae.
CUGUAACAUGGAAUAUGUACAGAAAUCAAAUAAAUAAAUCAUUAAAAAAAUCAUCAAAGAGCAUUAAAAAGGUCAUAAACCUAGGUACCUGGGAUUAAAUGUUUUGCUCGUGAUUUACAGUCGAUAUGGCCCAGGGGAAGCAGCUGUUUGUUAAUCUGGUGGUGUGUGAUCUGAUUGUCCUGUAGCAGCGUCCUGAGGGCUGCAGGUAAAACAGGUUGGGUGGGUAGGGUUCCUCAGGAUUGCCUAGAUGCAGUGGUUCUCUGAGGGCCAGCACACUGACU